Molecule: non-coding RNA, 205 nt
Organism: Pelobates cultripes (western spadefoot toad)
Lineage: Eukaryota; Metazoa; Chordata; Amphibia; Anura; Pelobatidae
Source: the annotation of a GenBank genome assembly
CUAUAACACAAUAUAAUGUAACACCAUCUGAACUGUAGUGGUAAGCCCAGUAGUAUGUAAUACCGUAGAGCAGCCUAGUAGUGUGUUACAUAGCAGUAUGUACUACUGUAGUGCUGUACGUAGAAUGUAAUGAGCUAUACGUUAGUAUGCAGCAAGUAGUCUGUAAUAAAAGUAUACAGCAGUAUGUGAUAAGUAUAGUAUGUAG